RNAcentral lists this ribosomal RNA (206 nucleotides) under uncultured bacterium. Its description in RNAcentral is "partial 16S ribosomal RNA". It matches the Rfam family "Bacterial small subunit ribosomal RNA", at positions 569 to 774 of the family's 1533-position model. The record is from RNAcentral.
GCGUAGGCGGCCUACCAAGUCCGAUGUGAAAUCUCCCGGCUCAACUGGGAGGGUGCAUUAGAAACUGGUAAGCUAGAGUGCAGCAGAGGAAAGUGGAAUUCCCGGUGUAGUGGUAAAAUGCGUAGAUAUCGGGAGGAACACUAGUGGCGAAGGCGGCUUUCUGGGCUGCAACUGACGCUGAGGUCCGAAGGCGUGGGUAGCAAACA